CCUGAGAGAUGAUCAGGUAGAUAGGAUGGAAGUGGAAGUGCAGUGAUGCAUGGAGCGGACCAUUACUAAUCGGUCGAGGACUUAACCAAA
RNAcentral lists this ribosomal RNA (90 nucleotides) under Ligilactobacillus aviarius. RNAcentral's name for it is "Lactobacillus aviarius partial 23S ribosomal RNA". It matches the Rfam family "Bacterial large subunit ribosomal RNA", at positions 2836 to 2925 of the family's 2925-position model. Lineage: Bacteria; Bacillati; Bacillota; Bacilli; Lactobacillales; Lactobacillaceae. The record is from RNAcentral.